CAGUCGCCGCGGGAAUACGUAGGGUGCGAGCGUUAAUCGGAAUUACUGGGCGUAAAGCGUGCGCAGGCGGUUAUAUAAGACAGAUGUGAAAUCCCCGGGCUCAACCUGGGACCUGCAUUUGUGACUGUAUAGCUAGAGUACGGUAGAGGGGGAUGGAAUUCCGCGUGUAGCAGUGAAAUGCGUAGAUAUGCGGAGGAACACCGAUGGCGAAGGCAAUCCCCUGGACCUGUACUGACGCUCAUGCACGAAAGCGUGGGGAGCAAACAGGAUUAGAUACCCCAGUAGUCCCUGUCUCUUAUAA
RNAcentral lists this ribosomal RNA (301 nucleotides) under uncultured bacterium. Its description in RNAcentral is "partial 16S ribosomal RNA". It matches the Rfam family "Bacterial small subunit ribosomal RNA", at positions 509 to 809 of the family's 1533-position model. The record is from RNAcentral.